GUGCUCACUCACAGGGGCAAGGCCUAGUUU
RNAcentral lists this small RNA (30 nucleotides) under Bombyx mori (domestic silkworm). RNAcentral describes it as "ovarian small RNA-5502". The record is from RNAcentral. Lineage: Eukaryota; Metazoa; Arthropoda; Insecta; Lepidoptera; Bombycidae.